CUUUCUAAAGAGUGACGGGCGAUUUGUGCAUACUCACUUUCUAAAUUAAAAUGAGAUUAAUUUUCCCCGUUUAGUUUUCAAGUCCUAUUUUCUAUUAUUUCUUUUUUAUUCCAAAUUUUUUUUAUUUGUAUCCCAUAAUCUUCUUUUUUAUUUGUUCUGUCUUGAUUUGCUUUUCAAUUUAUUAAAUUCUUUAAAUAGACUCUUUUAAGUUAUUUUUAAAACAAUGAUAUAGAAACUAAUAAAAAGAGUACCUUUCAUCGUGGUUUAUCUAUUACGAAACAGGAUCCCCUGCAAAGAUUGAGUACCGCCAUCUUAUUUUAACUUUCGUUUAUUUAACUACUAUUUUUAAUUUUUUUAAAA
RNAcentral lists this ribosomal RNA (360 nucleotides) under Abacarus oplismeni. RNAcentral's name for it is "partial small subunit ribosomal RNA". Lineage: Eukaryota; Metazoa; Arthropoda; Arachnida; Trombidiformes; Eriophyidae. The record is from RNAcentral.